This 240-nucleotide unclassified non-coding RNA is filed under the name soil metagenome. RNAcentral describes it as "partial contains 5.8S ribosomal RNA, internal transcribed spacer 2, and large subunit ribosomal RNA". The record is from RNAcentral.
AACCAUUCUCACCUGCGGCUAGACCUGCGGAGGGAUCAUUACACAAUAAACAUAUGAAGGCUGCACCGCCAACAGGCGGCAAGGCUGGAGUAUUUUAUUACCCUUGUCUUUUGCGCACUUGUUGUUUCCUGGGCGGGUUCGCCCGCCUCCAGGACCACAUGAUAAACCUUUUUUAUGCAGUUGCAAUCAGCGUCAGUACAACAAAUGUAAAUCAUUUACAACUUUCAACAAUGGAUCUCA